CCCGACAUACUAACCGGUAACGGGCUUAAACCCGACCCGACUCCAUCAUCAUAAUACAUCUCAAACCCGUUACCCGACCCGGACGUGUGCCCACGGAGGACGAUGACGGGGUUGAACGACGACCGGUCGUCGGAAGUUCUUCUCGUCCGGCGAAGCACCGGCGAGGUGGGACUCCGGCGAGAGUCUGAGAAAGUGGAUUCGGUAUGAUGAUGGAGUUCGGUUUGUUGACAUUUGUAAACGGAUCUAAAGAACACAAAUCUUGAUUUUGAAACCCUAAAUUUCAAACCAUCAUCAGGAAACUUAAAUUAAAGAAAACCCAGAUGCCAAAAUCGAAUAUUUGUUCAAGAAAAUUGAAAAGUUGUGAUCUUUUUUACAAAGAACAGAGUUUGGGUGUGAUUGAUGAGCCCUAGAUAUGAAAACGUAUCAAAAUACC
RNAcentral lists this long non-coding RNA (433 nucleotides) under Helianthus annuus (common sunflower). Its description in RNAcentral is "sRNA HanXRQr2_Chr08g0333311". The record is from RNAcentral. Lineage: Eukaryota; Viridiplantae; Streptophyta; Magnoliopsida; Asterales; Asteraceae.